This 465-nucleotide ribosomal RNA is filed under the name uncultured Burkholderiales bacterium. Its description in RNAcentral is "bacterial SSU rRNA". It matches the Rfam family "Bacterial small subunit ribosomal RNA", at positions 338 to 795 of the family's 1533-position model. Lineage: Bacteria; Pseudomonadati; Pseudomonadota; Betaproteobacteria; Burkholderiales. The record is from RNAcentral.
CCUACGGGGGGCUGCAGUGGGGAAUUUUGGACAAUGGGCGCAAGCCUGAUCCAGCCAUGCCGCGUGCGGGAAGAAGGCCUUCGGGUUGUAAACCGCUUUUGUCAGGGAAGAAACGCCUUAGGAUAAUACCUUGAGGUAAUGACGGUACCUGAAGAAUAAGCACCGGCUAACUACGUGCCAGCAGCCGCGGUAAUACGUAGGGUGCAAGCGUUAAUCGGAAUUACUGGGCGUAAAGCGUGCGCAGGCGGUUGUACAAGACAGAUGUGAAAUCCCCGGGCUUAACCUGGGAACUGCAUUUGUGACUGUACGGCUAGAGUGCGGCAGAGGGGGAUGGAAUUCCGCGUGUAGCAGUGAAAUGCGUAGAUAUGCGGAGGAACACCGAUGGCGAAGGCAAUCCCCUGGGCCUGCACUGACGCUCAUGCACGAAAGCGUGGGGAGCAAACAGGAUUAGAUACCCCUGUAGUC